UCGCCAGUCAGACUCCCCACCACAGUGACACAAACCAACCAGCCGCCUCGAGAGGUUGCUGAAGAGGUAUGCAGCGAUGGUCUGGAGGAAAAAAUAGUCACAUGGACUGGUGUGCAUUCCAGUACUUGAAAUGAUGCUGUUGCUCAGGCACAUCCAGGUGCGAGGAUGGGGGAGAUCCGGAUGUCGCUAAAUAAAAGAAUCUGUGAACUGCUUCACCAAGAGAAAAAGAAGUCCAUGGACAGGCCUAUGAGCCCUCUUGUUGACCUUGAGUGACUGAGGCUGCGGGCGGUCUGCCCCUGAAUUCACCUUCACUUUCUUUUCUUUUUUUUAAAAAUAUAUCUGAAGGUGUGUGUGUGCGCGAGCGCGGGUGUGUGUGUGUGUGGGCGCGGGCACGCGUAUGUGUUUGUGUGUGUGCGCGUGUGUGUGCACGCGUGCAUGUGUGCCAGUGCUUUAUGUGAGGUGUUUCGCUUACCGGCCACAGCCACAGUUUUUGUUUUGUUUUCUUUUUGUUUUAUUUGGGUUUUUUUAGAAUAUUUCUGCUUUUUCAUUAAGUACAAGUUACUGGCCAAAGUGGGAGACUGAAAUUGUUACUGGCCACAGGCAAGUUUCACCAGCAUUUGGCCUGUUGGCCGGUGUCGUUGUCAAGUCGUUUCCCUGCCUGUCUGCCCCUCUGUCUCUGCAUGUGGGAGCGGUGGUGUUAAAGGGUCGGUUGGUUUCUUGUUUUUAA
Engraulis encrasicolus (European anchovy) is the source of this 727-nucleotide long non-coding RNA. RefSeq lists it as uncharacterized. The record is from RefSeq and is a predicted model, not a curated record. The transcript is spliced from 3 exons. Lineage: Eukaryota; Metazoa; Chordata; Actinopteri; Clupeiformes; Engraulidae.